This 428-nucleotide ribosomal RNA is filed under the name uncultured prokaryote. Its description in RNAcentral is "bacterial SSU rRNA". It matches the Rfam family "Bacterial small subunit ribosomal RNA", at positions 355 to 774 of the family's 1533-position model. The record is from RNAcentral.
UGAGGAAUUUUGCGCAAUGGGAGCAAUCCUGACGCAGCAACGCCGCGUGGGUGAUGAAGCCCUUCGGGUCGUAAAGCCCUGUCAGGCGGGAAGAAUGUCCCGGGAUUGAACAGGUUCCGGUACUGACGGUACCACCAGAGGAAGCACCGGCUAACUCCGCGCCAGCAGCCGCGGUAAUACGGGGGGUGCACGCGUUAUUCGGAAUUACUGGGCGUAAAGCGCGUGUAGGCGGUCCUGCAAGUCUGAUGUGAAAGCCCCGGGCUUAACCCGGGAAGUGCAUUGGAAACUGUGGGACUUGAGUACUGGAGAGGAUGGGGGAAUUCCCGGUGUAGAGGUGGAAUGCGUAGAGAUCGGGAGGAAUAUCAGUGGCGAAGGCGCCAGGCUGGACGGUAACUGACGCUGAGACGCGAAAGCGUGGGGAGCAAACA